RNAcentral lists this RNase P RNA (345 nucleotides) under uncultured Blautia sp. Its description in RNAcentral is "Bacterial RNase P class A". It matches the Rfam family "Bacterial RNase P class A". Rfam says of the family: Ribonuclease P (RNase P) is a ubiquitous endoribonuclease, found in archaea, bacteria and eukarya as well as chloroplasts and mitochondria. Its best characterised activity is the generation of mature 5'-ends of tRNAs by cleaving the 5'-leader elements of precursor-tRNAs. Lineage: Bacteria; Bacillati; Bacillota; Clostridia; Lachnospirales; Lachnospiraceae. The record is from RNAcentral.
AGUCGGCCAGGUGAUCGCGGCUGUACAGACGAAAGGGUACAGACGAGGAAAGUCCGGGCUUCGCAGGGCAGGAUGCCGGAUAACGUCCGGUGGAGGUGACUCCCAGACCAGUGCAACAGAAAUAAACCGCCUUCUUUUAGAAGGUAAGGGUGGAAAGGCAGUGUAAGAGACUACCGCCUUUCUGGUAACAGAAAGGGCACAUGUAAACUCCAUUCGAAGCAAGACCGAGAAGAAAGCAAUACGGCUGCCCGUCGUGCUUUCAGGUGGGUCGCUUGAGCCUCCCGGUGACGGAAGGCCUAGAUAGAUGAUCACCCAAUGACAUAACCCGGCUUAUCGGUUGGCUUG